RNAcentral lists this long non-coding RNA (314 nucleotides) under Cricetulus griseus (Chinese hamster). RNAcentral describes it as "lncRNA (ENSCGRG00000025557.1)". The record is from RNAcentral. Lineage: Eukaryota; Metazoa; Chordata; Mammalia; Rodentia; Cricetidae.
CUGGAAUCAAGUUAAAGCAGUCUGAGAUCAGCUUCAACAUUGGAAGGAAGCCUCAGGGAUCCCAUCCCCAUGGAGUGAGCUCUGUUUCAGCCAGAGAAGAAUGAAGUUGAAUCCUGGUUGAGAGACAGAUUUGGAACCAGUUGCAGAUUUGCAAAUUCCUGGAGAAAGCUGGAAGCAAAGACUUCGGAUGUCGAGGUGAGCUGGAAAAAGCUGCCUGCACUCCUGGCCAUUCCUUGGAGCGUGGCACUUCUUUCCUUUAAUCUUUGUAAUUUCAAAUAGUUCUUGAACUAUUAACUCCCAAGAUCCAAAGGAAC